AAACAUUAAAAAACAAAAAAAAAAAUGUGAACUGUUCUCUACAUAAAUUUAGAAAAACCUAUAUGGAAUACUACCUUUCUUCCAUUCACAAAGCAAAUUCACCUGGCUCCUUAAAAUAGGAUAUUAUGCAAAAAUAAUUGGCUGAAUGUUGUGAAGUUGCAUCAAAAGUACUUGCUGCUAUGUCCACCUGAGACCAUGUUGAUGAAGGUGGCAGGGAAACAGACUCUCUCGCUCAUGCUUUGUUGUACUAGCGCACACAUUUUGGAAAGUGAGUUAUUUGGGCCUAGCAGCAUGCAUACCCUUCAACCCAGAAAUAGCAGUUCCAGUUGAAAUCUCCCACCAUGAAAGAGGCACUAAACAACCAAAUAUGUACACAAAAUGGCAUUUGACAUUAGUCAUCUCUGCCAUUGGUCACCCCACUGAUGACACAGUGGGUGUGGGAAGAGUCAUGACAGCAGGAUGGGCACUUUGCCUCCAUGCAGCUACUGCUACUGCUGAAUGUCCAACCCACCCCAACACAGAACUAGCCCCAAGUUAGUACCAUCCUUCCAGGAGACCAUCUGGCCACUGGAGGACAAACGGACAACUCCACCCUGGAAGGAGCAGUGAUUUAUUUUAACAGAAGUUGUUAUGCAUUCUGGGUAAAAGUUUGCCUUGCCUGGGGGAGCCUGGGUGGCUCAGUGGGUUGAGCAUCAGACUUCAGCUCUGAUCAUGAUCUCAGGGUUCAUGAGUUCAAGCCCUAUGUCGGGCUCUGUGCUGACAGCUCAGAACCUGGAACCUACUUCAGAUUCUGUGUCUCCCACUGCUCCUCUCCCACUCACUCUCUCUCUCUCUUUAUCAAAAAUAAACAAACAUUAAAAAAAUUUAAAGAAAAAAAGGUUUGCCUUGCCUGCCUAUAGGCGUUAGCCAUCACCACUCCCUAAGGGCUUACACAGUAUUAAGUGCACUCUCGUAAUUUACAGCAAAGUAAAUGCAUCUGCUCUACAGCAGUGGGCUGAGUGUGUGACAUGCGAUCCACUGGUCAUAUUAUGUCUGUACCACUCAGAAAUGGCUAAUCUGAUAGAACAAUGGAAUGGCCUAGAGAAAUGACAGCCAGGAGGCUGGUGAGGAUGGAGCUCCUCCAGGAUGCAAGAUACUCAAAAUCAAAUGGACAGUUAACAAGCUGGCAGAAGAUAUCCAGACAUUUAUAGCAGAUUAUAGUUAAUACCCAUUGUAUAAUUAAAUUACUUAAAUUGAUAAGUAAAAAACCUGAUAGGAGGAAAUAAAGUACAGAAGAAUAAAUACAAAUAUUCACUAAUAUAUUAUAAAAGGGAAAACCUCACGAUAACAAGAAAUGCCAGUUAUGACUGUCAUUUCCCUCACAUAUUUGAAAAAUGGCAGGAAUGGAUAAUAUGCAGUGUUGGUGAAGGCUGUGGGGAAACACUCUCAUACAUGAUUUUCUGUACAAGUGCACACAUUUUGGAAGGUGAGUGAGUUGGACCUAGCAGCAUGCUUACCCUUCAACCUAGAAAUUCCAGUUCUCAGAAUCUGAAUACUUGUUCAAAUGUGCCAAGUUAAAGCCCAAGGAUUUUUCAUUGCAGCAGUAUUUGUAGUAGUGACAAAUGGAAAACAACUUCAUGUAAACUAAUAGAGGACAAUUUGUGGGAAAAAUAAGAAGUUAAUAUUUUUUGAGAACUUACUAGAUACCAGUCAGUGUUCCAAAUACUUUACAUGUAUUAGCUGAUUUAAUCCUCACAACAACUCUUCUUUGUCCAUUUCAUAGGUGAGGCAAUUGAGGCAGAGAGCCUAAGUAACUUGGAGAAAAAAAAAAACGGAUUUGAAAUAGUAUGAGUAGCUUGAUUUUACUUUUAGAAACCAACAAGAACAAUUCAUGUAUGUGUGCAUGCACAUGCGCACACGCAUUUGCAUGGGAAAAUUGUGGAUACAGAGGAAUCUGAUAAUAGUUAGCUCUGGAAAGUGAAAAUUGGGAAGGAGGAUUUUCUCUUUCUACUUACAUACUUUUGUAUUAUUGAUAUUUUUAAAGUAAGCGUUAGUUUUAGAAUUUAAAAACAAAUAACAUUAACACCUAAAAAUUCACCUGAAUGCAUUAUGUUUACAUGAUUUUGUUCCAUUUCACUGACUGAAGGGUUUGUUGUGGUUGUAGGAAGAAGUUUUAUUCCAGGGCAGGAUGAAGUGUGCAUUGUGUAAGAACUACAUUGAGACUGAGGUUCUAGCUUGGCUUAAGGGAGGAAAAGAGUGUGGGUGGCAGAGGAAGGUGGGGAAAUCAGAGGUUGGGAGCAUAGACAGGAUUUUAUCAGAGGAAAACAGAGAGCAGACCCGAAACACCCUCAGGGCUGAAAGAGACCCCAUAAGAAGUCUAAAAGCCUGCUCUCCACCCUCCUAAUAGCCCUCCUAAAGGCAGACAGCCACAUUCAGGGUCAUAGUCCAGUUCCCUUAUUCUCUCCUUGAGAGGUACAGUGAAUUUUACAUGCAUUCAGCAGCCUGACCAUUUGGGAAAAUGCCUAAUUAUCCUUAUUAUUCCUCCAACCAGUAUUUAUUAAGCUUCCCCUAUCCCAGGCACUGGGAACCAGUUACCUGCCAUCAGGGAGCUUAUACUCUGAUACAGUUAUUGAAUGACUCACCUUUAAGGUGAUCUUCUUUGACUGUUCCUCGUAUUCUCUUUAUAAGCUCACACAUAAUCUAGAGUUUGCUUGAAGGGUAAUGAGUUAAUGAUUUGACGAACCGUAACAAUCAACAGACUGAAGAAGGCAUAGGAGUAAGUCAAGAUCAUUUCAACAUCCGAAAUGCGUUUUUAAGAAGAUAGUUUGGAGGAGGUAAUGGCUUUCUUAAUUCCAAGUAAUAAAAUAUUUAUUUUUUAGAUAGCCAUACUCAAACCCAAAAUCAUUUAUGUGAUGGCUAAACUUUAAUAUGUGCUCAACUAGUUAUGUUCAUGUCAAAGUAAUUACUGUUAUAAUCAUCUAAAUACAUUUUUUUUUCUUUUUUUGGAAACUGCCUCUGUAGUGACAACGGGUCUUUUCAGCUUCAUCAUCCAAACUCUGAAGGCCUUCUCCAUCACCACCUGCCUGGUGCCUCAUCUGCUGGUCUCUCUUUUGGGGCCACAGUUACCACCAAAGAAGGCAUAGGAAGUACCCAAAACAGGAUUCACCUAGUUCAAGGUGGAUCCUCUGUGUUCCUUGCUUUUAGGAAAACAUUACUAAAGGCCAUCCACCCAGCAUGGAUUCCACACCACAGGCAUGAUGAUGAGCGUCUGUAUUUGCUAAGGAACUACCUGGAACCCUCCACAGAGCAGUCCAUGGGAAGCUUGGGGCUGCACACCCAACACAGAGCACAACUUGGGGCCUGAACUCACGACCUGAGAUCAAGA
Acinonyx jubatus (cheetah) is the source of this 3364-nucleotide long non-coding RNA. RefSeq lists it as uncharacterized. Lineage: Eukaryota; Metazoa; Chordata; Mammalia; Carnivora; Felidae. The transcript is spliced from 3 exons. The record is from RefSeq and is a predicted model, not a curated record.